GACGAACGCUGGCGGCGUGCUUAACACAUGCAAGUCACGGGGGCGCAGUAGCAAUACUGCGCAACCGGCGAACGGGUGCGUAACACGUGAGCAAUCUGCCGAUCUCUGGGGGAUAGCCGGCCCAACGGCCGGGUAAUACCGCAUACGCUCAUCGGGGGACAUCCCCUGGUGAGGAAACCUCCGGGGGAGAUCGAGGAGCUCGCGACCUAUCAGCUAGUUGGCGAGGAAUGGCUCACCAAGGCUACGACGGGUAGCUGGUCUGAGAGGAUGGCCAGCCACAUUGGGACUGCGACACGGCCCAGACUCCUACGGGAGGCAGCAGUGGGGAAUAUUGCGCAAUGGACGAAAGUCUGACGCAGCGACGCCGCGUGGGGGAUG
Molecule: ribosomal RNA, 378 nt
Filed under: uncultured bacterium
Lineage: Bacteria
Description: bacterial SSU rRNA
Rfam family: Bacterial small subunit ribosomal RNA
Source: RNAcentral